Dama dama (fallow deer) is the source of this 2129-nucleotide long non-coding RNA. RefSeq lists it as uncharacterized. The transcript has 4 exons. NCBI's taxonomy places the organism in Eukaryota, Metazoa, Chordata, Mammalia, Artiodactyla, Cervidae. The record is from RefSeq and is a predicted model, not a curated record.
AGUGUCAGCGGGAGCGAAAGCGCGAGUUUAAAGAAACAGGAGGCCCACAGAAUUUCCUACGGGGGCUUUAACUGGCUCUCGCUGCCUCGUUUGUUUUUGUUUUUCCAGCUCGCGGAAGUGCUUCAGCGUUAACCCUUUCCAGCCCUCUCAAUAGUUUACAUCUUGUUUUGCAUAGUUAAACCUUUUUUUUAAUUGGGGUAAAGAUUUACAAAGAAAGAAAGGGAAGCGGCACAUUGGUUAAAACUCUAGAACCAGACUGGGUAAAAGGAUUCCACCUCCCCUACUAAAUAGCUCAGUGGCUUUGUUUUCCUUAGUGUCUCAGUUCCCCAUCCGUCAAAUGGGGAGAAUUGUAGUUACACCCUUAUAAGUUUCUUUUAUUGGAUGAAAUGCGUUAAUACGGAACAAUGCGAGUUGAGAACAGUGCCUGGCACGAAGUACAUGACUUUAUGCUUCUUAAAGACAAGAGAGGGAACAGGAGAGAAGGUGUUCUAAAUCAAAUAGAGAAGCCGCUUCAGUGUUCUAAGUGCAAACGGUCCUGUUAGUCUGUUCUUGUCCAAUCUUUUCCAUGCUCUGAAAAAUUGAUGGGUGCCAUCCGUAACCACCUUAAUUUUGUCUCAACACCCACUGGAAGUGGAGCCAGACAAUUAAACUACUCUUCCAAUUUGAUGACCGAAGAAUGCCUCUCAUGGUUACUUGGCUGAAAUAAAACGUUCAGUGCAGUUCCAUGUCCCAUUUAUACGCAAAAUCAUGGGGACCCAGCAGGAGCCAUUUCAAGAGCAUCUCUUCCUUAGUCUGGAGUGUUUCUGUCCCCUUUCACAGUAGAAAAAUGGGUGUUUCUUGCUUUUCAAAGAAGAAACAAGUCCCUGCCUCUCCUGGGGAGAGGAAUUAAGAUGUCUCUAAGGAAAAAGUUUCAUCUUCCAUCUCACUAGAGAGAAAAGAGUUACAGUGAGUGAGGAUUUGUUAAAACCUUAUACAAUUACUAUCAUGGACAGCAAGGGGAUCAAACCAGUCCAUCCUAAAGGAAAUCAACCCUGAAUAUUCAUUGGAAGGACUGAUGCUGAAGCUGAAGCUCCAAUUCUUUGGCCACCUGAUGCAAAGAGCCGACUCAUUGUAAAAAAAACCCUGAUGCUGGGAAAGAUGGAAGGCAGGAGAAGAAGGGAACAACAGAGGAGGAGAUGGUUGGAUGGCAUCAUCGAUUCAACAGAUAUGAGUUUGAGCAGACUCUGAGAUGGUGAAGGACAGCAAAGCCUGGCAUGCUUCAGUCCAUGGGGUCAGAGAGAAUCAGACAUGAUUGAGUGACUGAACAACAACACCACCAAAAGGGAAAUUACUAUCAGUGGAUUCCUUUUCUUCAGGCCUAAUCUAAUAUUACAACCUUUUCCUCCAGGCCUCAGGCAUUUCCUCUCCCUCCUCAUUUGAGAAAACUAGUCUUUUUAUCUUUAGUACACAAUUACAAGAUUCCUUUCUUCAUCUUGGCUGAUUUUUUUCCUCGAUUCAUCCCACCCUCUCCAUCCCCACCAUGUCCACAAGUCUUUUCUCUGUCUGCAUCUCCACUGUUGCCCUGCAAAAGGUUCUUCAGUUCCAUCUUUCCAAAUUCCAUAAAUCUAUGUUAAUAUAUGAUAUUUGUUUUUCUCUGACUGACUUCAGUCUGUAUAAUAGGCUCCAGGUUCCUCCACCUCACUAGAGCUGACUCAAAGAUGUUCCUUUUUAUGGCUGAGUAAUAUUCCAUUGUAUUGCAUUGUAUAUAUGAAAUAUACAUAUAUGAAUAUUCCAUCGUACCACAAAUUUUUAAUCCAUUCAUCUGUUGAUAGACAUCUAGGUUGCUUCCAUUUCCUAGCUAUUGUAAAUAGUGCUGCAGUGAACAUUGGGGUACACGUGUCUUUUUCAGCUUUGGUUUCCUCAGGGUAUAUGCCCUGUAGUAGGAUUGUUGGGUCAAUAGGGUAGUUCCUUGUUUUUUAUUCACCUUGUUUGACUUCUGCUCUCAGAAUCAACUGAGAAUUCAUUAUAUUAUUUCUGGAUAUUUCAGCUUUUUGCUCUUUUAUAAUCUUCAGUAAAAUUUUUAUGAAUAAAGUGUUUUGAAUGAAAUAAGCAUUUAAAAAAUUACAUGACAGCUAGUAGCACUUUUUUUU